This 82-nucleotide transfer RNA is filed under the name Canis lupus familiaris (dog). It matches the Rfam family "tRNA". From Rfam's summary of the family: Transfer RNA (tRNA) molecules are approximately 80 nucleotides in length. Their secondary structure includes four short double-helical elements and three loops (D, anti-codon, and T loops). Further hydrogen bonds mediate the characteristic L-shaped molecular structure. tRNAs have two regions of fundamental functional importance: the anti-codon, which is responsible for specific mRNA codon recognition, and the 3' end, to which the tRNAs corresponding amino acid is attached (by aminoacyl-tRNA synthetases). tRNAs cope with the degeneracy of the genetic code in two manners: having more than one tRNA (with a specific anti-codon) for a particular amino acid; and 'wobble' base-pairing, i.e. permitting non-standard base-pairing at the 3rd anti-codon position. RNAcentral also lists the same sequence under 1 other name. The record is from Rfam by way of RNAcentral. Lineage: Eukaryota; Metazoa; Chordata; Mammalia; Carnivora; Canidae.
GCCUGGGUAGCUCAGUGGUUGAGCAUCUGCCUUUGGCUCAGGUCAUGAUCCCAGAUUCCGGGAUCAAGUCCCGCAUCAGGCU